GAUUGAACGCUGGCGGCAUGCCUUACACAUGCAAGUCGAACGGUAACAGGUCUUCGGACGCUGACGAGUGGCGAACGGGUGAGUAAUACAUCGGAACGUGCCCAGUCGUGGGGGAUAACUACUCGAAAGAGUAGCUAAUACCGCAUACGAUCUGAGGAUGAAAGCGGGGGACCUUCGGGCCUCGCGCGAUUGGAGCGGCCGAUGGCAGAUUAGGUAGUUGGUGGGAUAAAAGCUUACCAAGCCGACGAUCUGUAGCUGGUCUGAGAGGACGACCAGCCACACUGGGACUGAGACACGGCCCAGACUCCUACGGGAGGCAGCAGUGGGGAAUUUUGGACAAUGGGCGAAAGCCUGAUCCAGCAAUGCCGCGUGCAGGAUGAAGGCCUUCGGGUUGUAAACUGCUUUUGUACGGAACGAAAAAGCUUCUCCUAAUACGAGRGGCCCAUGACGGUACC
RNAcentral lists this ribosomal RNA (455 nucleotides) under rape rhizosphere bacterium m9048. Its description in RNAcentral is "bacterial SSU rRNA". It matches the Rfam family "Bacterial small subunit ribosomal RNA", at positions 27 to 479 of the family's 1533-position model. The record is from RNAcentral.